Molecule: ribosomal RNA, 253 nt
Filed under: uncultured bacterium
Lineage: Bacteria
Description: partial 16S ribosomal RNA
Rfam family: Bacterial small subunit ribosomal RNA
Source: RNAcentral
UACGUAGGGUGCAAGCGUUGUCCGGAAUUAUUGGGCGUAAAGAGCUCGUAGGCGGUUUGUCGCGUCUGCUGUGAAAACCCGAGGCUCAACCUCGGGCCUGCAGUGGGUACGGGCAGACUAGAGGUAGGUAGGGGAGAAUGGAAUUCCCGGUGUAACGGUGAAAUGCGCAGAUAUCGGGAGGAACACCGGUGGCGAAGGCGGUUCUCUGGGCCGUUACUGACGCUGAGGAGCGAAAGCGUGGGGAGCGAACAGG